RNAcentral lists this small nuclear RNA (276 nucleotides) under Jaculus jaculus (lesser Egyptian jerboa). Its description in RNAcentral is "7SK RNA (ENSJJAG00000003155.1)". It matches the Rfam family "7SK RNA", at positions 1 to 279 of the family's 331-position model. From Rfam's summary of the family: 7SK was discovered as an abundant small nuclear RNA in the mid-70s but a possible function has only recently been suggested. Two independent studies have found that 7SK RNA binds the CDK9/cyclin T complex (known as elongation factor P-TEFb). Lineage: Eukaryota; Metazoa; Chordata; Mammalia; Rodentia; Dipodidae. The record is from RNAcentral.
GGAUGUGAGGGUGAUCUGGCUAUGAGAUCUGGCACCCCACUGAUCACCAGGGUUGACUCAUCUGAUCUGGCUGGCUAGGCAGGUGCCCCCUUCCUCCCUCACCACUCCAUGUGCGUCCCUCCCCAAGCCACAUGCUCAGUCGAAGAGGACGACUUCCUGAAAUAGAGGAGGGCCAGUCUUCGGCCAAGGGUACGUGAGUAGCUGCACUCCCCUGCUAGAACCUCCAAACAAGCUCUCAAAGGCAAAAAUGCAGUUCCUGUGGGACUCGGCAAUUUU